Moschus moschiferus (Siberian musk deer) is the source of this 107-nucleotide small nuclear RNA. NCBI's taxonomy places the organism in Eukaryota, Metazoa, Chordata, Mammalia, Artiodactyla, Moschidae. The record is from Ensembl.
GUGUUCAGUUUGGCAGCACAUAUACUAAAGUUGGAAUGAUACAUAGGAGAUUAUCAUGGCCCCUGUGCAAGGAUGAUGCAAACUUGUGAAACAUUAAAAUAAUAAUA